Molecule: non-coding RNA, 46 nt
Organism: Chlorocebus sabaeus (green monkey)
Lineage: Eukaryota; Metazoa; Chordata; Mammalia; Primates; Cercopithecidae
Source: Rfam
UUUGAGGUUUUUUUAAAAACCAUACAUUGAAAUACAUAAAGGCUAU